This 239-nucleotide ribosomal RNA is filed under the name uncultured eukaryote. RNAcentral describes it as "partial 18S ribosomal RNA". It matches the Rfam family "Eukaryotic small subunit ribosomal RNA", at positions 1208 to 1456 of the family's 1831-position model. The record is from RNAcentral.
GGGAACCUCACCCGGCCCGGACACCGCGAGGAUUGACAGACUGAGAGCUCUUUCUCGAUUCGGUGGGUGGUGGUGCAUGGCCGUUCUUAGUUGGUGGAGCGAUCUGUCUGGUUAAUUCCGAUAACGAACGAGACCCAACCUGCUAACUAGCCCUCGGGUCCUGCUUCUGUUGGGCCCGACGGAAUGAUUCGCUUCUUAGAGGGACUCGCGGCGCCUAGCCGCACGAAGGGGGGCGAUAA